This 289-nucleotide long non-coding RNA is filed under the name Fukomys damarensis (Damara mole-rat). Its description in RNAcentral is "lncRNA (ENSFDAG00000028841.1)". The record is from RNAcentral. Lineage: Eukaryota; Metazoa; Chordata; Mammalia; Rodentia; Bathyergidae.
GGUCAUAUCAGGUGAGCCAAGAGUUUGACUUUAGAGUUUCCAAAGCAACAGAAUCCCAGCAGAUCCCCCGUCCUCCCUCAGCAAAGAUCUUGCUCGCAGAAUCCAGAUGAAAAGCCUCUUUGAACUUGAGUCAAGUGGAGAGUCAAGUAAUAGAAAUACAAACCCCGCAAUGCCAUGCAAGAAGGGCUGUAGCAGACUGUGCAUACCAGAGAACGGGAUGCAGCUCACACCACUGAGACUCAUGAAUGACAGUUGCUAUGGGGAUCUCGCGCUGCACCCAUUCUGCUAG